RNAcentral lists this ribosomal RNA (492 nucleotides) under uncultured bacterium. Its description in RNAcentral is "partial 16S ribosomal RNA". It matches the Rfam family "Bacterial small subunit ribosomal RNA", at positions 29 to 507 of the family's 1533-position model. The record is from RNAcentral.
AGUGAACGCUGGCGGUAGGCCUAACACAUGCAAGUCGAACGGCAGCACAGUAAGAGCUUGCUCUUACGGGUGGCGAGUGGCGGACGGGUGAGGAAUACAUCGGAAUCUACUUUUUCGUGGGGGAUAACGUAGGGAAACUUACGCUAAUACCGCAUACGACCUACGGGUGAAAGCAGGGGAUCUUCGGACCUUGCGCGAUUGAAUGAGCCGAUGUCGGAUUAGCUAGUUGGCGGGGUAAAGGCCCACCAAGGCGACGAUCCGUAGCUGGUCUGAGAGGAUGAUCAGCCACACUGGAACUGGGACACGGUCCAGACGCCUACGGGAGGCAGCAGUGGGGAAUAUUGGACAAUGGGCGCAAGCCUGAUCCAGCCAUACCGCGUGUGUGAAGAAGGCCUUCGGUUUGUAAAGCCCUUUUGUGGGGAAAGAAAAGCAGCAGGUUAAUACCCCGCUGUUCUGACGGUACCCAAAGAAUAAGCACCGGCUAACUUCGUG